Molecule: ribosomal RNA, 253 nt
Filed under: uncultured bacterium
Lineage: Bacteria
Description: partial 16S ribosomal RNA
Rfam family: Bacterial small subunit ribosomal RNA
Source: RNAcentral
UACGUAGGGGGCUAGCGUUGUUCGGAAUUACUGGGUGUAAAGGGUUCGUAGGCGGUGCGGCAAGUUGGGAGUGAAAUCUCUGGGCUUAACCCAGAGGCUGCUUCCGAAACUGCUGUGCUUGAGUGUGGGAGAGGCGCGUGGAAUUGCAGGUGUAGCGGUGAAAUGCGUAGAUAUCUGCAGGAACACCCGUGGCGAAAGCGGCGCGCUGGACCACUACUGACGCUGAGGAACGAAAGCUAGGGGAGCAAACAGG